Molecule: long non-coding RNA, 535 nt
Organism: Cygnus olor (mute swan)
Lineage: Eukaryota; Metazoa; Chordata; Aves; Anseriformes; Anatidae
Exons: 3
Source: RefSeq, a predicted model, not a curated record
GGGCAGGUAGGAGACGUGGGUGAGGACAGAGACAAAGAGGAGCCAAUCCACCCCAGGCCAGUUUCACACUCGCCAGGGCAUUUACCCAUUGCCUUGACAGAGACUACUCAGGAGAGGAGGAACUUUUCAGGCCUGCUGCGACAUUAAACAGUUGGACUUGUUUGUCGUACAAGAUCAAAUUAAAGAGAGCAUGACAAGUUAGUGUGUGUCUUCUCUAAAGAAUAAGAAAGAACUGGUGCUUACGUUCUUGCCAGCACCACCCACUUGUCUACCCUGAAAGGUCCAAGUGCCAUUUCCCAAGGUGAGGGCAGCUCACAGGUGCUCUCCAGUCCUGGGAAUGGAGACGCGAUUUGCCUCACUGCUAACCACAGCUAACCAUGGCCACGCAUUUCAAGGGUGGAAAAGUACUCCACCAGCAUUCCUGAGUCUCCCUGUUCCCACGUCUCUGCGCGUCCUCCCACACCACACUCCCUGCAAGCUGGAUCCACUUGUAGUUUCCUCUGUUUGGAAUUGGAAAGCAAAUAUUCCCCUUGGU